UACGUAGGGUGCAAGCGUUAAUCGGAAUUACUGGGCGUAAAGCGUGCGCAGGCGGUUGUGCAAGACCGAUGUGAAAUCCCCGGGCUUAACCUGGGAAUGGCAUUGGUGACUGCACGGCUAGAGUGUGUCAGAGGGGGGUAGAAUUCCACGUGUAGCAGUGAAAUGCGUAGAGAUGUGGAGGAAUACCGAUGGCGAAGGCAGCCCCCUGGGCCGACACUGACGCUCAGGCACGAAAGCGUGGGGAGCAAACAGG
RNAcentral lists this ribosomal RNA (253 nucleotides) under uncultured bacterium. RNAcentral's name for it is "partial 16S ribosomal RNA". It matches the Rfam family "Bacterial small subunit ribosomal RNA", at positions 524 to 776 of the family's 1533-position model. The record is from RNAcentral.